GUGUGUGGGCCCUUCUCCAAAUGCAAGAAGGGAACCUCUUUAGAAAGAAAGGAAUGAAUGAAAGAAAAAGGAAUAUUCAUCUCAGAGAGGAGGUGAAAGGGGGAACAUUUUUUCUUCUUCCUGCUACCGUAGGUGACCCCAGAUUCUUGCUCCAGAGACACCGGAGUUCACUGGCACGUGCCCAGUUGCCAGCAAUUGUUUAAAGGAAAAAAAAAAAAAGCUUGUCUCUUCGUUCCACACUCUCAGGCAAAGCCAAAAGUAAGCAGAAAAAACCGGGGGGAAGUGGGACACGGGCUUCAAAGGACAAAAGUGAAAGAAGCAGAAUCCACGUCCACCCUCUCCGGCUUCUCCCCCGUGCUCUUCGGGCGAAUUCGAGGGGCGGGCGCAGCACUGGCGAAAGUUUGUUCCACCCGCGUUCGCCGCUAGCUGCGUGGAGAGGAGGAGGAGGAGAGGGAGGGUCGAUCUCCAAGCCUGUGGCUGCAAGGAUGACUGAGCCGGCGCCGCGCUUACCUCACAGUCUUCGUACUUGAUAUUAUCCGUCAGUUUCCAAAGCAUUUUCAUGGAUCGGCGUGAUCGGAUUUGCCCCUUUGCGCCUCGCACCCCAGCGGAGCUACUCUCUAGCCUAAUCGCCUCAUUAGCAUAUCAACAAUAGUCCAAUUGCUCGCCAGUACCACAAUCUGCCGCCGGCCGCUCCGACCCAGGUAUAAAGGCCUCUUCUAGCCGCGAACUUGCUCCCAGAGCACACGCCUGCACGCCUGUCUGCUAGCCCAACAGCUCUGCCCAGAGCUCCACCACCCUCCCUUGCUCCGGCUGCCCCACCCCGGCCCAAUUUCAUCCCUUUCCCCUUUGCCUGUCUUCGGAUCCUGCCAGCCAAAGAUGCCUUGGAUUAAGCUCGGUACUACGCAGGGUACCAGCGGCGGAGCCAAGGAACCAACUUUUAGUACCCCCUACCCCUGCUACUACAGCCGCCACUAACCGAUCUGCCUUUCGUCCCCUUCCGAUUUUAUUAGAAAUCAUUAUCCCUUUCGCAAUGAAUCGUAACCACCAAACCAGGACCAGCAAAGUCACUCCAGGAUUUUUGCCCAACUGGAGAUCGCCUCCGCUCACGGCUGUUACCCCCUCGGGCUGCAGCGCCCUGGGAGUUUUAUUAGCUUUGCGCUUUCCCCCCAGGUUGGAGAUUCUGCCAACCGGCUCCGGUGGCUCGGUUGGGGUUUGCGAUCUCUUAAUUGCUACGUGUAAAAUAAAAGUUGUACCCUGAAGAGGUUACUCGACA
Long non-coding RNA from Peromyscus leucopus (white-footed mouse), 1273 nucleotides. RefSeq lists it as uncharacterized. The record is from RefSeq and is a predicted model, not a curated record. Lineage: Eukaryota; Metazoa; Chordata; Mammalia; Rodentia; Cricetidae. The transcript has 2 exons.